RNAcentral lists this ribosomal RNA (442 nucleotides) under uncultured Bacillus sp. Its description in RNAcentral is "bacterial SSU rRNA". It matches the Rfam family "Bacterial small subunit ribosomal RNA", at positions 349 to 782 of the family's 1533-position model. Lineage: Bacteria; Bacillati; Bacillota; Bacilli; Caryophanales; Bacillaceae. The record is from RNAcentral.
CAGCAGUAGGGAAUCUUCCGCAAUGGACGAAAGUCUGACGGAGCAACGCCGCGUGAGUGAAGAAGGCCUUCGGGUCGUAAAACUCUGUUGCCGGGGAAGAACAAGUGCCGUUCGAACAGGGCGGCGCCUUGACGGUACCCGGCCAGAAAGCCACGGCUAACUACGUGCCAGCAGCCGCGGUAAUACGUAGGUGGCAAGCGUUGUCCGGAAUUAUUGGGCGUAAAGCGCGCGCAGGCGGCUUCUUAAGUCUGAUGUGAAAUCUUGCGGCUCAACCGCAAGCGGUCAUUGGAAACUGGGAGGCUUGAGUGCAGAAGAGGAGAGUGGAAUUCCACGUGUAGCGGUGAAAUGCGUAGAGAUGUGGAGGAACACCAGUGGCGAAGGCGGCUCUCUGGUCUGUAACUGACGCUGAGGCGCGAAAGCGUGGGGAGCAAACAGGAUUAGA